CCGCCGCACUUGCAAGACUCUCUUCCCAUCGACCCCCAACAACAUCCCUCCAUCUCUCUCCCUCUCCUUUGUUCCAAGAUCAAUCGAGAUCUCCCUCUCUUCCCCUAAACAGCACCAUCAUCUUGUAGAUCUCCCAUCAUCGGAGUCCCUCAAGACUACGUGCUCCCUUCUCGAGAUCAAGAUCAAGCUAUUGUCCCUUGCAUCUUUGCUCUCUGUAGGCCUCCUCCAAGAGAUCAUUG
This 239-nucleotide long non-coding RNA is filed under the name Elaeis guineensis (African oil palm). RNAcentral's name for it is "long non-coding RNA (EGUI_LNC015385)". Lineage: Eukaryota; Viridiplantae; Streptophyta; Magnoliopsida; Arecales; Arecaceae. The record is from RNAcentral.